UUUCGCAAUGCCCGAAAGGGUGACGAAGCGACGCCGCGUGUGGGAAGAAGGCCUUCGGGUUGUAAACCACUGUCGGGAGUUAGGAAAUGCAGGUGCGUUAAUAGCGCACUUGCUUGACUAAGGCUCCAGAGGAAGCCACGGCUAACUCUGUGCCAGCAGCCGCGGUAAUACAGAGGCGGCAAGCGUUGUUCGGAAUUAUUGGGCGUAAAGAGCACGUAGGCGGCCUUGCAAGUCAGUUGUGAAAGCCUUCCGCUUAACGGAAGAACGGCAUCUGAUACUACAGGGCUUGAGUACGGGAGGGGAGAGUGGAACUUCUGGUGGAGCGGUGAAAUGCGUAGAUAUCAGAAGGAACGCCGGCGGCGAAAGCGACUCUCUGGUCCGAAACUGACGCUGAGUGUGCGAAAGCUAGGGGAGCAAACGAGAUUAGAUACCCCGGUAGUCCUAGCCGUAAACGAUGGGCACUAAGUAGAGGGGUUUU
Molecule: ribosomal RNA, 478 nt
Filed under: uncultured Planctomycetales bacterium
Lineage: Bacteria; Pseudomonadati; Planctomycetota; Planctomycetia; Planctomycetales
Description: bacterial SSU rRNA
Rfam family: Bacterial small subunit ribosomal RNA
Source: RNAcentral